RNAcentral lists this ribosomal RNA (409 nucleotides) under uncultured microorganism. RNAcentral describes it as "bacterial SSU rRNA". It matches the Rfam family "Archaeal small subunit ribosomal RNA", at positions 330 to 745 of the family's 1478-position model. The record is from RNAcentral.
GUGCAGCAGGCGAGAAUACUUUACAAUGUGCGAAAGCACGAUAAGGGAACUCUGAGUGCCUCCUAAGGAGGCUGUUCAGGUGUCUAAAAGCACCUGAAGGAAGGGCUGGGUAAGACCGGUGCCAGCCGCCGCGGUAACACCGGCAGCCCAAGUGGUAGCCACGUUUAUUGGGUCUAAAGCGUCCGUAGCCGGCUGGGUAAGUUCCUUGGGAAAUUUGGCUGCUUAACAGUCAAGCUUUCAGGGAAUACUGCUCGGCUUGGGACCGGGAGAGGUCAGAGGUACUCCAGGGGUAGGGGUGAAAUCCAUUAAUCCUUGGGGGACCACCGGUAGCGAAGGCGUCUGACCAGACCGGGUCCGACGGUGAGGGACGAAGGCUAGGGGCGCGAACCGGAUUAGAUACCCCCGUAGU